This 517-nucleotide ribosomal RNA is filed under the name uncultured bacterium. Its description in RNAcentral is "bacterial SSU rRNA". It matches the Rfam family "Bacterial small subunit ribosomal RNA", at positions 14 to 518 of the family's 1533-position model. The record is from RNAcentral.
CGAUCUGGCUCAGAUGAACGCUGGCGGCGUGCUUAACACAUGCAAGUCGCGCGUGAAAGGACUUCGGUCCGAGUAAAGCGGCGCACGGGUGAGUAACGCGUGGAUGAUCUACCCAUGAGUUAGGAAUAACGGCUGGAAACGGUCGCUAAUACCAAAUACGCUCCGAUUUCAACUUCGGGGGAAAGGUGGCCUCUGCUUGCAAGCUACUGCUCAUGGAUGAGUCCGCGUCCCAUUAGCUAGUUGGUGGGGUAACGGCCCACCAAGGCGACGAUGGGUAGCCGGUCUGAGAGGAUGACCGGCCACACUGGGACUGGAACACGGCCCAGACUCCUACGGGAGGCAGCAGUGGGGAAUAUUGCGCAAUGGGCGAAAGCCUGACGCAGCGACGCCGCGUGAGGGAUGAAGGUCCUCGGAUCGUAAACCUCUGUCAGGAGGGAAGAACCGCCACGGUGCUAAUCAGCCGUGGUCUGACGGUACCUCCAAAGGAAGCACCGGCUAACUCCGUGCCAGCCGCUGC